This is a long non-coding RNA of Homo sapiens (human), 578 nucleotides long. NCBI's taxonomy places the organism in Eukaryota, Metazoa, Chordata, Mammalia, Primates, Hominidae. The record is from Ensembl.
UUCCGGAAUCUGGCGCGGCCUUUGUCUCACUUCAGCCAGAGAGCGGGGUUAGGGCUUCAUUGCCUUGUGUCCUCUGCUCCGGGAGACUUCGGUGAUUCUGCCACUCCCUCCGUCGCUCUGUGACCUGCUGGCAUUGAAUGAUUUAUAGCUAAGACUCCAGGACACCCCUGAAGCCGAGAAAUGAAAUCCCAAGUUGACCGUCAAGUCCAACGCUCGCUGCAGACAUCUAGUGGACCCGGCGCUCGCGGACGGAAGCGGACAGACCUAGUUGGAUCCUUAUCCCACCAAUCUGGCCCACCUUUGCUGCCAUCUAACUCCGCUGACCGGCCCACCGUUCCUCCACUGUUCGCUGGUUGACCCGGGCAGCGGAGAGAGGAGGUGCUUCUCUUCUGUCCCACGGCAGGCGGCACCAACAGAAGGCUUCUGCAAAGCUGAGAGCUCCUUUUACCCAUGGAUCAGGAGCAGAGUUUGCAGCUACACUGUCAGGCUGUGUUUGGAUGUUAGCAGUUAGUUUAGCUUUGCGUCUUCAGAGCAAUUGUUCUUAGCUACUUAAAAAAAGAAAAGAAAAGAAAGGAAAA